UACAGAGGGUGCGAGCGUUAAUCGGAAUUACUGGGCGUAAAGGGUGCGUAGGUGGUUAAAUAAGUUAGGUGUGAAAUUCCCGGGCUUAACCUGGGGACUGCGCCUAAUACUGUUUAGCUAGAGUAUUGUAGAGGAGAGUGGAAUUCCCGGUGUAGCGGUGAAAUGCGCAGAUAUCGGGAAGAACACCCGUGGCGAAGGCGGCUCUCUGGGACGGUACUGACGCUGAGACGCGAAAGCGUGGGGAGCGAACAGG
RNAcentral lists this ribosomal RNA (253 nucleotides) under uncultured bacterium. RNAcentral's name for it is "partial 16S ribosomal RNA". It matches the Rfam family "Bacterial small subunit ribosomal RNA", at positions 524 to 776 of the family's 1533-position model. The record is from RNAcentral.